This 299-nucleotide ribosomal RNA is filed under the name Amblyosyllis antoni. RNAcentral's name for it is "partial 16S ribosomal RNA". It matches the Rfam family "Bacterial large subunit ribosomal RNA", at positions 2059 to 2597 of the family's 2925-position model. Lineage: Eukaryota; Metazoa; Annelida; Polychaeta; Phyllodocida; Syllidae. The record is from RNAcentral.
AGGCUAAUAUCCUAAUAAAAGACAAGAAGACCCUGUAGAGCUUAUUUUUAACCUUUCUUCUAAAGGCCAAAAAUUUUGUUGGGGCGACAAAGGAGAAUAAAUAACCUCCCUCUUUCAAAGACUGAUAAGUCUUUUCCUAAACCCCUCACCAGGGAUAAAAGAAAGCUACCUCAGGGAUAACAGGCUAAUUCUUCUUGAGAGUUCUAAUCGACAGAAGAGAUUGGCACCUCGAUGUUGGCUUAGGGCCCCUACCUCCCGCAGAAGGGAGGAAAGGUGGUUUGUUCAACCAUUUAACCCCU